Long non-coding RNA from Cheilinus undulatus (humphead wrasse), 592 nucleotides. RefSeq lists it as uncharacterized. The transcript has 8 exons. The record is from RefSeq and is a predicted model, not a curated record. Lineage: Eukaryota; Metazoa; Chordata; Actinopteri; Labriformes; Labridae.
AAAAAGUCAGACCCGGAAAUCCUUUCUCUUAUCCAGAACACUCAGCCACGAGCAGACGGCAGUUCUGCAGCUCGGCUCUGUUUUUCAUGAAGUCUGCAAACUGGAGAGCUUGUAUCAUGCUUGGGAGUCAACGCUCAGAUGGGCAAAUAACAAUGAGAAACCUGACCCAUGAUUGGUACACCUGAGAGGAGGACCAUUAGCCACUGUAUCAUAAAGAUGGCCAGUAUUGGAUUUUGAAGCAUGGACAUGAGAUGUCAUCCUGUGGUCAUGGGAAAUGCACUCCAUUGUACUUUGAGUUGAUCAGGAGUUUCAGAUGUCAUCCUGUGGUCACGGGAAAUGCCCUGCAUGCACUCCAUUGUACUUGGUGCUGAUCCGGAGAUGAACAGUUGGAGCAUCAGGGAAAUGAAGACGCCCCAGUGCUUCAUCACAUCACUGGUUAAAGAGUGCAGGACACAUUACCUACAGAGAGGCUUCAUUUUAAAGUGUAUCUGAAGCUGAAUAUCCACAGAAAGAAGGGAGGCCUCAGCUAUUUGCCAUCAUUAUGUUUUCUUUAAAUGUUUUUUCCUUUUUAAUAAAACCUUUCUGCAAGAAA